AUAAUAUUAAAUUUUACGGUUUUUAAUUUAGUAUUUAAGUUUUAUAAUUUUAUAUUAAUGUUAUAACUAAAACAAAUGGUGAUGAUAAAAUAAUAAAAUAAAUAUUUAACAUGUGCUAUAUCAAUCCAAACUCGUCCCACUAUAUUUCAUAUCAAUCCAAACCCGUCCCGCUAUAUUUCUCAUCUCAUGAUAUUUUUUUAUA
This 202-nucleotide small RNA is filed under the name Arabidopsis thaliana (thale cress). Its description in RNAcentral is "ATSL260280". The record is from RNAcentral. Lineage: Eukaryota; Viridiplantae; Streptophyta; Magnoliopsida; Brassicales; Brassicaceae.